UCCGUAGGCGGAUUGAUAAGUCAGAGGUGAAAUCCCACAGCUUAACUGUGGAACUGCCUUUGAAACUGUUAGUCUUGAGUUAUAUGGAAGUAGAUAGAAUGUGUAGUGUAGCGGUGAAAUGCAUAGAGAUUACACAGAAUACCGAUUGCGAAGGCAGUCUACUAACUGUAUACUGACGCUAAUGGACGAAAGCGUGGGGAGCGAACAGGAUUAGAUACCCUGGUAGUCC
This 229-nucleotide ribosomal RNA is filed under the name uncultured bacterium. RNAcentral's name for it is "partial 16S ribosomal RNA". It matches the Rfam family "Bacterial small subunit ribosomal RNA", at positions 568 to 796 of the family's 1533-position model. The record is from RNAcentral.